Molecule: ribosomal RNA, 1102 nt
Filed under: Stemonitis longoides
Lineage: Eukaryota; Evosea; Eumycetozoa; Stemonitida; Stemonitidae
Description: Stemonaria reticulospora partial small subunit ribosomal RNA
Rfam family: Eukaryotic small subunit ribosomal RNA
Source: RNAcentral
ACUAAAUUAGCAUGCAUGCUAGACUAGGAGGCGUCUCUCUGAAUCUGCGAACGGCUCCGCACACCAGUUGUAAAACCCUGCACGUCUUGCCAUCGCCGGGUAGUUUAUUCUGCUGGGCUUUGGUGCCCCCUUGGCUUCGGCUGGGGGGGGUUUAAUUGGAUAUCCCUGGUAAUUCUGGGGCUAAUACAUGACCUUAACACAGAACUCCCCCUCUAUCUAACAAGCAGCAAUGCCAUGUGGUCCGAGGGGGGGCGAUGUGCGAAUACAAAUGCCUGGAUUUAUUCCUCGCGAGUUGAGCGCACGUCUAAACCUGCGGGCACUUCGAGUGCCACUGGGCUUCGUAUUGACGGGAAACGCGUGCCGGUUACACUUAUGGGAUCCGUCCCAAUAGAGGACCCGGACCCCCGGGCUAUCAAGCCGGACCUGGGUUCGCCCUUGUUCGGUGGCUGCGGGGGAACGCGCGAACACUCCGAUUGCGCUGCUCGGGCGGGUGUGUGCCAUAGGCUUCUGACCUAUCAACUAGAAUGCUGUGUAAUGGACUGCAGUGGUGACAACGGGUACAGAGGAUUAGGGUUCGAUCCUGGAGAGUGGGCCUGAGAGAUUGCUCCUACUUCUAAGGAAGGCAGCAGGCGCGCAAAGUUCCCAUUGGGUACCCGACAGGGCCCGAGGGCGUUAGGGGAAAUAUGAAUGGCUGUCUUAAUAGCGGCCAAUUCAAAUGGGUCUGUCUUAAACAGGCUCUCGAGUAACAAUUGGAGGACAAGUCUGGUGCCAGCACCCGCGGUAAUUCCAGCUCCAAUAGCAUACGUUAAAGUUGUUGCGGUUAAAACGCUCGUAGUCGCGAUAGAGCCCUUGGAGUAGGCUGGAGAGAGGCACGGCUCCGUGGUCAGUAUGUAGAGUGGCGUCUUCGGAAAUGCCUGACUGCUGGCGCGUUCUUGCACGGCCAGGAUCUUGUCCUGUGAUGGGGGUCACUUAGUGUCCAGGCUCGCAUAACGGUCGUUCCCUCACAGGGCGCGAUGUCGAGACAGGUAAAACUGCCGCUCGGCUGUACGCUCCUUUGCGGUGAUAACAGCGUGAUAGCAGGCACUGCUUCCUCCGCAUGGGC